Molecule: transfer RNA, 73 nt
Filed under: Zenopsis nebulosus (mirror dory)
Lineage: Eukaryota; Metazoa; Chordata; Actinopteri; Zeiformes; Zeidae
Also listed under: 1 other name
Description: tRNA-Leu (CUN)
Rfam family: tRNA
About the family: Transfer RNA (tRNA) molecules are approximately 80 nucleotides in length. Their secondary structure includes four short double-helical elements and three loops (D, anti-codon, and T loops).
Source: RNAcentral
GCUUUUAAAGGAUAAUAGUUCAUCCGCUGGUCUUAGGAACCAGAAACUUUUGGUGCAACUCCAAAUAAAAGCU